GUCGUGCUGGCAGACAUGGCGUAUGCAUUCGACUGCAAAUCGAAAGAAAGAGGUUCGAGUCCUCUGCACGACU
Molecule: transfer RNA, 73 nt
Filed under: Arachidicoccus ginsenosidimutans
Lineage: Bacteria; Pseudomonadati; Bacteroidota; Chitinophagia; Chitinophagales; Chitinophagaceae
Description: Arachidicoccus sp. BS20 tRNA
Rfam family: tRNA
About the family: Transfer RNA (tRNA) molecules are approximately 80 nucleotides in length. Their secondary structure includes four short double-helical elements and three loops (D, anti-codon, and T loops).
Source: Rfam by way of RNAcentral